This 195-nucleotide ribosomal RNA is filed under the name uncultured marine eukaryote. RNAcentral's name for it is "partial 18S ribosomal RNA". It matches the Rfam family "Eukaryotic small subunit ribosomal RNA", at positions 1 to 190 of the family's 1831-position model. The record is from RNAcentral.
AACCUGGUUGAUCCUGCCAGUAGUCAUAUCGCUCGUCUCAAAGAUUAAGCCAUGCAUGUCUACAGUAUAAAUCACUCUAUACUGCGAAACUGCGAACUGGCUCAUUAUAUCAGUUAUAGUUUAUUUGAUAGUCCCUUACUACAUGGAUAACCGUGAGUAAUUCUAGAGCUAAUACAUGCAUCCAUACCCAACUGU